CCCAGUUCGGAUUGUAGUCUGNAACCCGACUACAUGAAGCUGGAAUCGCUAGUAAUCGCAGGUCAGCAUACUGCGGUGAAUACGUUCCCGGGUCUUGUACACACCGCCCGUCACACCAUGGGAGCCGGAAAUGCCCGAAGCCAGUGACCCAACCUUAGGGAGGGAGCUGUCGAAGGUGGAGCCGGUAACUGGGGUGAAGUCGUAACAAGGUACC
This 214-nucleotide ribosomal RNA is filed under the name uncultured bacterium. RNAcentral's name for it is "partial 16S ribosomal RNA". It matches the Rfam family "Bacterial small subunit ribosomal RNA", at positions 1287 to 1500 of the family's 1533-position model. The record is from RNAcentral.